UUCAGCAUUUAGAUUGCCCCUCACUAAUCUUGUCUGAUCUCAGAAGCUAAUCAGGUGUGGCCUGGAUUGGACAUGGAUAGGAGACAACCUGGGAAUACUGAGU
Molecule: ribosomal RNA, 103 nt
Filed under: Salvator merianae (Argentine black and white tegu)
Lineage: Eukaryota; Metazoa; Chordata; Lepidosauria; Squamata; Teiidae
Source: RNAcentral